RNAcentral lists this ribosomal RNA (197 nucleotides) under uncultured bacterium. RNAcentral's name for it is "partial 16S ribosomal RNA". It matches the Rfam family "Bacterial small subunit ribosomal RNA", at positions 328 to 539 of the family's 1533-position model. The record is from RNAcentral.
ACGCUCGACACCUACGGAGGCAGCAGUGGGGGAUAUUGCACAAUGGGGGAAACCCUGAUGCAGCAACGCCGCGUGAAGGAAGAAGGUCUUCGGAUUGUAAACUUCUGUCCUCAGGGAAGAUAAUGACGGUACCUGAGGAGGAAGCUCCGGCUAACUACGUGCCAGCAGCCGCGGUAAUCUGAGCGGGCUGGCAAGGC